GAAUCUUAUCAGCUGAAUGAACCUGAGAUAACAGAAAACGUCAUGGACUGAUAAGCAUCUGACCCUACUGCACAUAUGGAAAUAUCCAAGGCCAAGAAGCACAAAAGUAAUAAACUUUUUAAUGUAAACAAUAAAACACCACUAUUUUUGUUUUAAAAAAAAUAUAUAUAACACACUAGAGUGAUGCACAAGCAGUUAAACCAAUAUGUGACUAUAAGAUCUAGUACAUGGUACUCUGCAAACUGCAACAUACAAAAAAAUAAAAUCCAAAAACAUCAUUUGAUGUCACUAAACAUGCAGCUAAGAGACUUAUUCUCUAUGCAUAUUGCAGAGCCUUCGAUACAGUUCUAUUUCAAAAUAUUUUUAGAAGCCAUUGACUUUUAACCAGAUUAUGAAAAAAAAAUGCUUAAAUUAACUGCUGCUAUAAUUACAACAAGGCAUAACAGAAUGUGUUGACUUUUGAUCAAACAUCCAUUCUCCAGUUGUUGAAUUGCUGAGUGGCCCAGUGACAUUGAUCAUUUUAAUCCUCUAAGAGAAAAAAAUGUUAUCAUUAUAAAUUGAUUCUUAUUAAAGGCACAAAUCCUCUAAUUCAUCCAGUAAAUAAUGAGCAAUCAAAAUGAUAUCCUGAAACACCGGUAAAUCAAUUAGAAAGCCCAUAAGGUGAAAAUUCAUUAAAGCUUGACCGGUCCAUGAGCCUAUCCCCUAAACAUGAAAAUAACAAUUCUAGCAAAAGAAACCAAGUAUUCCAUCAUUAGCACUUCCUCCUCCAACCUCAGCAGCUCAGCCAAUAGGUGAGGUUUUAACUUAGAGUUGACAAAGGGUCCCCAAAAUUGAGCAUUAAAGCCAUAAAAAUUUUCCAAACCAUAUAAAAUAGUUUUAGAAAACAUAUGGUACACAUAAAAAGGUCAUAUAUAAGCUUUUUAAGACAUUGUAAAGCUUAAAAUUCAAACGAUUAUACCUCUAAAAAUAACAUAUCCUCAUAAAUAGUCAUUAAUAUGAGAAUAACUUCAAUCAUAUAAGAAUUCGACAAUUUAAUAUUUGUUGUAAACUUUAUAUUUCAAUUCAAAGUAUAAAUUUUGAAAGUCGUAAGUAACAAAUAUAGCAAAAUAUUAACAGUAAUUGCAACAUAUAUUUUUAACAAUAAUACAUGAAACACUAGAUCAUAUCCAUCAUAAUAUAUUUGCAUACACAUAUGAUCACAAUUUGUGGCAAAUUAGUAGUUACAGACAAUCUAAUAGCAUUUAACUAAAUAUUUGUUCACCUAAAACUUGAAACUUGAACGAAAUAAGAAGAGGUUGAAGGACAAAAUGAUCACAAACUGAAAGCAGCAACAGCUUUCCAGUAUGAAAAAAGGAAAUGCAGCAAACAUUCAAAAAGGCAAAAUUGUAACUAUUUAAAAUAAUAGAUUGAUUUUAACAUUUGAAAAUGCAAUUUCAAUGUGAGUUUAUCUGAUUUUGAUUUUGUAUAUAAUUUGAAUCAUUCACAUAUUUUAACUCUCAAAAAAUAAAAUCAUACAAAUAAGCAUGCAAAUUUAAUAACAACUAUAUUAGUUGUAAUCUAAAGCAGACAAAAACCACCCAAUAAUUGCAAAAAAGUAAUGUUGCAAUUGACUGGCUACGCUAUACAUAGUACAUUUUAAAUAGUUUGAACUUUUCAUGACAAACAACAUUCACUUGACAUACGAUGAAACCAAUGGCUCCAAUUGAACAAGAAAGAAGAGAAUGAACCUUGAUACACCUCAGC
Molecule: unclassified non-coding RNA, 1743 nt
Filed under: Hevea brasiliensis (rubber tree)
Lineage: Eukaryota; Viridiplantae; Streptophyta; Magnoliopsida; Malpighiales; Euphorbiaceae
Source: RNAcentral